This is a long non-coding RNA of Erigeron canadensis, 493 nucleotides long. RefSeq lists it as uncharacterized. The transcript is spliced from 2 exons. Lineage: Eukaryota; Viridiplantae; Streptophyta; Magnoliopsida; Asterales; Asteraceae. The record is from RefSeq and is a predicted model, not a curated record.
UAGCUCUGUGUAAUCACAUCUAACAGGUUUUCUAGUUUCAUGAAAUUGGACUAUUAUUUUCUCUUGUGGGUUACACCAGAGUUAACCCGACCCCUUUUUAUCUGCAACAUAAUCAAACUCGUUUCAACCUGUCAAUCAUUUUGGAGAUCCUGAAGUCGGAAGAUGAUGUGACUCAAUAUUACAUUGCAUGAAUACAGCAAGAAAGGAUGUUUUGGAGGUUCAAAAAUGCUUAUGAAUGAUUGCAAGGAGACUUUGGAAGAAGAAACAAGAUGAUAAAGUGUUUUGGAGUCCAAUAUCAACGAGACCAUCCUUGGUCUCGUCGAUAUCAUGAAGCAAUCAAGAAUAGAAGAAGAUUGAAAAGGUCUCAUCGAUAUCGUCCUUGAUCCUCGAGUAGCAAUUGGUUUCAUUUUACGUUAUGUUGAUUUCAUUUAACUCUUAUUUUGGGUAAACUACAUAGACAAUCCUGCAAUUAACUUCUUAUUUUUAUUAACAA